AUUGGCAAAUGAUGUAAUUUCAGUUUUAUGCUUAACACACUGAUUAAACCAUGGUGACUAAAAACUCCGCUUAUUAUCUGAUGCCAAA
Lactuca sativa (garden lettuce) is the source of this 88-nucleotide small nucleolar RNA. RefSeq annotates it as small nucleolar RNA R16. The record is from RefSeq and is a predicted model, not a curated record. NCBI's taxonomy places the organism in Eukaryota, Viridiplantae, Streptophyta, Magnoliopsida, Asterales, Asteraceae.